CAAAAUGAUCAUCUUCUCCAUAUUGUUCUGCCGAUUUUUGCUCUCCUCCAUAGCUGGGGUUUCUUCAACUUUCAAACUUCAUAAUCAAGAGAAACGAGAUUCAAGUCGUGAUCGGGGGAAAAACAAAGUUUACGAGGAAUAGGCUCGAUUGUUAAAAAUUUUGUACCGAGGUAAGUUCAUGUGUAAAUAAUGUAGCAUAAUUGUUACUUUUAAGUUAUUGAUGUUAAAUAUAGGAUAUGCUGAUUCUUAUCAUGAAAUAUAUGCUUUGUGGUUAUUUUCGAAUAAAAUGCAAAUUAAGUGUAUUAUUUGUUAAAUAUAAAGUGCUACCGAGUAUUGGUUUCGGUAUUUUACGGAAGAUGGCAAGGAGACGUGUUCGAGGAAAAUCCCGUUUGAACCUUAGGAAUAGAUUAGGAUACAAGUGACAUGUCACUAGGAUGGUUGAGCAUCCGAACUCGUUGAGUUGAGUCCGAGUUCACUUAUGGAAGUGGAAUGUCCGAACUCGUUGAGUUGAGUCCGAGUUCGUGAGAUGUAACUAGGCAUCCGAACUCGUUGAGUUGAGUCCGAGUUCACUUAUGGAUGCGAACGCCCGAGCUCGUUGAGUUGAGUCCGAGUUCACUUAUGGGCGGGUUACAUGGUAGCUUGGCUACAAAUAUGGCACUUAUGUGCAAAUUAUCCAUGUAUCCAAGUUAUAUUCCGAUGUGUUCAACGGGUAAAAUUUCUAGUGAAAUGGAAGAACACUUAAGAUGCAAGUGACGUAUUGGUAAGUAUUGUGAAAUGGACACUAUGGACAGGUAUGUACUUAACCCUCGGGUUGAAAAUAGAUACAACAACGAUAAGGUGGUAAGAUGAUGAAUGAUGUUUAAAAUGUGAUAUAUGUUUUGGUGAUACCAUGCUAAGAUUGUUUGGUAAGUUCAUGUGUAAAUAAUGUAGCAUAAUUGUUACUUUUAAGUUAUUGAUGUUAAAUAUAGGAUAUGCUGAUUCUUAUCAUGAAAUAUAUGCUUUGUGGUUAUUUUGAAUAAAAUGCAAAUUAAGUGUAUUAUUUGUUAAAUAUAAAGUGCUACCGAGUAUUGGUUUCGGUAUUUUACGGAAGAUGGCAAGGAGGCGUGUUCGAGGAAAAUCCCGUUUGAACCUUAGGAAUAGAUUAGGAUACAAGUGACAUGUCACUAGGAUGGUUGAGCAUCCGAACUCGUUGAGUUGAGUCCGAGUUCACUUAUGGAAGUGGAAUGUCCGAACUCGUUGAGUUGAGUCCGAGUUCGUGAGAUGUAACUAGGCAUCCGAACUCGUUGAGUUGAGUCCGAGUU
Molecule: long non-coding RNA, 1301 nt
Organism: Gossypium arboreum
Lineage: Eukaryota; Viridiplantae; Streptophyta; Magnoliopsida; Malvales; Malvaceae
Exons: 3
Source: RefSeq, a predicted model, not a curated record